AUCAAAGCUUUGAGAAAGAGGAGUAGCAAUUUCCGUACUUUACAGCGAGCUGAUGGCGGUGGAAAUCAGUAGGGAAGGAAUUGUGAAUGGACUUUCGAGCGAAAUACUGAAUCAUAGUAGGUAAUUCCGGGAACUCCCGUUAUAGAGAAAGGUCGUUGUUAGACGACUGAUAAAGAGGAAAGAUGUAUUCUUUCGAUAUUGAGGUGGCACCGUGAACUUUCACCCUCAAA
RNAcentral lists this non-coding RNA (230 nucleotides) under Enterococcus sp. RNAcentral's name for it is "T-box sequence". It matches the Rfam family "T-box leader". From Rfam's summary of the family: Uncharged tRNA acts as the effector for transcription antitermination of genes in the T-box leader family. Lineage: Bacteria; Bacillati; Bacillota; Bacilli; Lactobacillales; Enterococcaceae. The record is from RNAcentral.